CGUGUGCUUACAAGUAGUCAGAGCCCGUUAAUGGGUGAUGGCGUGCCUUUUGUAGAAUGAACCGGCGAGUUACGAUUUGAUGCAAGGUUAAGCAGUAAAUGUGGAGCCGUAGCGAAAGCGAGUCUGAAUAGGGCGUUUAGUAUUUGGUCGUAGACCCGAAACCAGGUGAUCUACCCUUGGUCAGGUUGAAGUUCAGGUAACACUGAAUGGAGGACCGAACCGACUUACGUUGAAAAGUGAGCGGAUGAACUGAGGGUAGCGGAGAAAUUCCAAUCGAACCUGGAGAUAGCUGGUUCUCUCCGAAAUAGCUUUAGGGCUAGCCUCAAGUGAUGAUUAUUGGAGGUAGAGCACUGUUUGGACGAGGGGCCCCUCUCGGGUUACCGAAUUCAGACAAACUCCGAAUGCCAAUUAAUUUAACUUGGGAGUCAGAACAUGGGUGAUAAGGUCCGUGUUCGAAAGGGAAACAGCCCAGACCACCAGCUAAGGUCCCAAAAUAUAUGUUAAGUGGAAAAGGAUGUGGCGUUGCCCAGACAACUAGGAUGUUGGCUUAGAAGCAGCCAUCAUUUAAAGAGUGCGUAAUAGCUCACUAGUCGAGUGACACUGCGCCGAAAAUGUACCGGGGCUAAACAUAUUACCGAAGCUGUGGAUUGUCCUUUGGACAAUGGUAGGAGAGCGUUCUAAGGGCGUUGAAGCAUGAUCGUAAGGACAUGUGGAGCGCUUAGAAGUGAGAAUGCCGGUGUGAGUAGCGAAAGACGGGUGAGAAUCCCGUCCACCGAUUGACUAAGGUUUCCAGAGGAAGGCUCGUCCGCUCUGGGUUAGUCGGGUCCUAAGCUGAGGCCGACAGGCGUAGGCGAUGGAUAACAGGUUGAUAUUCCUGUACCACCUAUAAUCGUUUUAAUCGAUGGGGGGACGCAGUAGGAUAGGCGAAGCGUGCGAUUGGAUUGCACGUCUAA
RNAcentral lists this ribosomal RNA (953 nucleotides) under Staphylococcus aureus. RNAcentral's name for it is "partial 23S ribosomal RNA". It matches the Rfam family "Bacterial large subunit ribosomal RNA", at positions 557 to 1515 of the family's 2925-position model. The record is from RNAcentral. Lineage: Bacteria; Bacillati; Bacillota; Bacilli; Caryophanales; Staphylococcaceae.